RNAcentral lists this ribosomal RNA (416 nucleotides) under uncultured bacterium. RNAcentral's name for it is "bacterial SSU rRNA". It matches the Rfam family "Bacterial small subunit ribosomal RNA", at positions 357 to 773 of the family's 1533-position model. The record is from RNAcentral.
GGGAAUCUUGCGCAAUGGCCGCAAGGCUGACGCAGCGACGCCGCGUGUAGGAGGACGCCCCUCGGGGUGUAAACUACUGUUGCCCGGGACGAACCGGCUUGUUCGCAAGCCCUGACGGUACCGGGUGAGGAAGCACCGGCUAACUCCGUGCCAGCAGCCGCGGUAAUACGGAGGGUGCGAGCGUUGUCCGGAAUCACUGGGCGUAAAGGGCGCGUAGGUGGCGCGGGAAGCGUGCGGUGAAAGCCCGGGGCUCAACCCCGGGUCGGCCGUGCGAACUCCCGGGCUCGAGCACUGUAGGGGCAGGCGGAAUUCCGGGUGUAGCGGUGGAAUGCGUAGAGAUCCGGAAGAACACCGGUGGCGAAGGCGGCCUGCUGGGCAGUGGCUGACGCUGAGGCGCGACAGCGUGGGGAGCAAAC